CCUACGGGUGGCUGCAGUGAGGAAUAUUGGUCAAUGGUCGGGAGACUGAACCAGCCAAGCCGCGUGAGGGAUGAAGGUACAGAGUAUCGUAAACCUCUUUUGUCAGGGAACAAAGGCGGGGACGUGUCCCCGGAUGAGUGUACCUGAAGAAAAAGCAUCGGCUAACUCCGUGCCAGCAGCCGCGGUAAUACGGAGGAUGCGAGCGUUAUCCGGAUUUAUUGGGUUUAAAGGGUGCGCAGGCGGUCUGUUAAGUCAGCGGUCAAAUCGCGGGGCUCAACCCCGCUCCGCCGUUGAAACUGUGUCCCUUGAGUGCGCGAAGGGUAGGCGGAAUGCGUGGUGUAGCGGUGAAAUGCAUAGAUAUCACGCAGAACUCCGAUCGCGAAGGCAGCCUACCGGCGCGCAACUGACGCUCAUGCACGAAAGCGUGGGUAUCGAACAGGAUUAGAUACCCGGGUAGUC
RNAcentral lists this ribosomal RNA (459 nucleotides) under uncultured bacterium. Its description in RNAcentral is "partial 16S ribosomal RNA". It matches the Rfam family "Bacterial small subunit ribosomal RNA", at positions 338 to 795 of the family's 1533-position model. The record is from RNAcentral.